UACAGAGGGGGCAAGCGUUAUUCGGAAUUACUGGGCGUAAAGGGCGCGUAGGUGGCCUUCUAAGUUGAACGUGAAAUCCCUGGGCUCAACCCAGGAACUGCGUCCAAGACUGGGAGGCUUGAAUCCGGGAGAGGGAUGCGGAAUUCCAGGUGUAGCGGUGAAAUGCGUAGAUAUCAGGAGGAACACCGAUGGCGAAGGCAGGUCUCUGGGCCACUACUGACGCUGAGAAGCGAAAGCAUGGGGAGCGAACAGG
RNAcentral lists this ribosomal RNA (253 nucleotides) under uncultured bacterium. Its description in RNAcentral is "partial 16S ribosomal RNA". It matches the Rfam family "Bacterial small subunit ribosomal RNA", at positions 524 to 776 of the family's 1533-position model. The record is from RNAcentral.